Molecule: ribosomal RNA, 354 nt
Filed under: uncultured eukaryote
Lineage: Eukaryota
Description: SSU rRNA
Rfam family: Eukaryotic small subunit ribosomal RNA
Source: RNAcentral
GUAGUCAUAUGCUUGUCUCAAAGAUUAAGCCAUGCAUGUCUAAGUAUGAACACGCUUUGUACGGUGAAACUGCGAAUGGCUCAUUAUAUCAGUGAUCAUUUAUUUGAUGAUGCCUUACUACGUGGAUAACCGUGGUAAUUCUAGAGCUAAUACAUGCACACGACUCCCGACUCGUGAGGGAAGGGAGGUAUUUAUUAGGUAAGAACCAGCCCAGGCAACUGGAGCACUGGUGAUUCAUGAUAACUGCACGAAUCGCACGGCCUCGCGCUGGCGAUGGAUCAUUCAAAUUUCUGCCCUAUCAACUUUUGAUGGUAGGAUAGAGGCCUACCAUGGUCGCAACGGGUAACGGGGAAU